Molecule: ribosomal RNA, 375 nt
Filed under: uncultured organism
Description: partial 16S ribosomal RNA
Rfam family: Bacterial small subunit ribosomal RNA
Source: RNAcentral
GUAGGUGGGCAAGCGUUGUCCGGAAUUAUUGGGCGUAAAGCGCGCGCAGGGCGGUCCUUUAAGUCUGAUGUGAAAAGCCCACGGCUCAACCGUGGAGGGUCAUUGGAAACUGGGGGACUUGAGUACAGAAGAGGAAAGCGGAAUUCCAAGUGUAGCGGUGAAAUGCGUAGAGAUUUGGAGGAACACCAGUGGCGAAGGCGGCUUUCUGGUCUGUAACUGACGCUGAGGCGCGAAAGCGUGGGGAGCAAACAGGAUUAGAUACCCUGGUAGUCCACGCCGUAAACGAUGAGUGCUAAGUGUUAGGGGGGUUUCCGCCCCUUAGUGCUGCAGCUAACGCAUUAAGCACUCCGCCUGGGGAGUACGGCCGCAAGGCUG